This 219-nucleotide ribosomal RNA is filed under the name uncultured bacterium. Its description in RNAcentral is "partial 16S ribosomal RNA". It matches the Rfam family "Bacterial small subunit ribosomal RNA", at positions 122 to 334 of the family's 1533-position model. The record is from RNAcentral.
UAACCUACCCAUCAGAGGGGGAUAACACUUGGAAACAAGUGCUAAUACCGCAUAACAGUUUAUGCCGCAUGGCAUAAGAGUGAAAGGCGCUUUCGGGUGUCGCUGAUGGAUGGACCCGCGGUGCAUUAGCUAGUUGGUGAGGUAACGGCUCACCAAGGCCACGAUGCAUAGCCGACCUGAGAGGGUGAUCGGCCACACUGGGACUGAGACACGGCCCAG